GAAGCCGAAGUUCAACCUCUUUGUCAAGCAGGUGUCCGCCAGCAUUGAGAUGGCAGAGCCACACAUUGAUGUAUGGAUAUUUUCUGGUUGUUUGCCCCGUUCUCAAACUAAUAAAAAGGAAGUACAUGCUAAUCUUUUGUUUUGCUCAUAUUGUAUUGAUCAUAUUUUGUUUUCUGUUCGAUGCCUCCUGUAUUUAGAGUAGAAAUAUUCUUAAUUUAGUGUUUCUUGAACAUGGCUAGGGCAAUGGAUAAAAUCUACUCUAGACAGUUGACAAAGGGAGUACAUGCUAAGUUGACUUUUUUCCUGCGGAUUUGCUUAUCAUGAAGAUGCUUGCAAGGAUGCAGAGGGAGCGGAUCAUUUGGAGAGAUAGGAUGCCACUGUUUGGUGUUUUUAUCCAUUUUGGUUUGCUUGUAACUGUGUUUGCACUAGCUGGGAGUAAGUGACUUCAAGAAGUGUAGGUGUUUUAACUGAAGGCAUGAAAAGCCAUGACAAUAUGUAUGCUCUUACAGGAUGUGUUCUAAUGCCGCAGGUUUAUUAUAAAUCUUUGAUUAGUAAUGAUGUGUAAU
RNAcentral lists this long non-coding RNA (566 nucleotides) under Triticum aestivum (bread wheat). Its description in RNAcentral is "long non-coding RNA (TAES_LNC011605)". The record is from RNAcentral. Lineage: Eukaryota; Viridiplantae; Streptophyta; Magnoliopsida; Poales; Poaceae.